This 29881-nucleotide long non-coding RNA is filed under the name Gossypium barbadense (sea-island cotton). RNAcentral describes it as "long non-coding RNA (GBAR_LNC014659)". The record is from RNAcentral. Lineage: Eukaryota; Viridiplantae; Streptophyta; Magnoliopsida; Malvales; Malvaceae.
UUUUUAUUUAGGUGUGAUCGAAUCACCUCAUAAUUUAAUCAUUUUAAUAAAAGUUUAAAUUUACUAAAAUGAUAAUUUUUGGUCUACAAAAUCCAGAAAACGGGUUUAGGAGUCGGUUACGCACGAGGAAGGAUUAGCACCCUCGAUACGCCCAAAAUUAGUACCUAGUUGAUUACUUAAUGUCUUGGUGUUGAAGAUUAAAAACUUGAAAAGAAUUUAAAAUACGAUCCCUCUUUAUAUUGUGUUAUUUUAAAAUUACUCGAAUAAAUCAAAAUAUGUAAAAUGCCUUCUUAUCUCGAAGUAACAAGAUGUCACAUCCCGUAAGUUAGGACAUGACACCUCGAAUUUUUAAGAAUAAGCUUGCCUUUUAUUUUUUAUUUGAACCUCAUUUAGUUUAAUUUUAAAAGGAUAUUCGGUUAUUUAGGUUCAACGCGAGAAAAAUCAAAACCCAGUAAGUUAGGGCACGACUUCUCGAAUUUCCAAAUACGGAAUAUUGCCUUUAUUUUCAAAAUUUUCUUUUUUACGAAUUUGGAUAAAAAUUAAUGUAAUAUUAAGAUUGAUAUAUGAAUAAAAUGUUACGCUAAUGAAUGACAACAAUAUAAAUGUACUAAUAAGCUAUUCGUAAUACAUAUCACUUUAAUACCAAUAUUAACAAUCAAAGAAAAAAUAAAAAAAAAUAAUGACGAUGAUAACAAAAAUAGUUCUAAUGACAAAAUAUGAGCAUGAAAUGACAAUACCAAUUUUUAAAUAUAAUGAAGACAAAGAAAUAAAUAAAUAAAUAAAUAAAUAAAUAAAUAUAAAGGAAAAUAUUAUAUAUAAUAUUGAAAAUAAAUGACUUAAUUAAAAUAUAAAUGAAAUUAUAGGUGCAAUUUGUAAUAAGAUACAAAAAUAAAUAGUAAUAAUAAUAAAUAUAAUAAUAAAUAUGGUACAAGAAAAAUAGAAAAUAAAAAAAAUGUUUAAAUAUAAAUAAAUAAAUACAAAAAAAAGUAAAAGAUUGAAAGUAAGGGACUAAAUCAAAAUCUAAGCCAAAUUUAAAGUAAAAAUCAUAAUAAAAUAAAUGGAUUAAGUAAUAAAAUAAAGUAAAGGGCUAAAAUCAAAUGUGUAGAAACAAGCGGGAACAAAUGACUAAAUUGAAGCAUGAAAAAAAUCAGUGGCCCAAAUUUCAAAAAAAAUCCAAAAAGGUAACAAAGGACUAAAUUGAAGCGCAUCGCAAAAGUGGAAGGGCCGAUUGUGUAAUUAACCCAUGCGCUAGAAAACACGCGGAUCCUGGGGGUCUUGGGUCGGAUCUCGGGUUAAGAGCCAAAACGGUGCCGUUUUGGGGCUAUUGAAGCCAACCUUAAACGGUGUCGUUUAGAGAGUCUAUAAAGACUAAUUUUUUUUAAAAAAAAAUCAUUUACACCCUUUUCUUUUAAAAAAACUUUGAGAGCUCACUCAUGCUCUCUCUCAACUCUCCCUCUGCCACCCCGUCGCCGGACCACCGUGACAGUCGCCAAAUGUCGGCGACGGCGCCGCCGUACACGGUGGCCGACAACAUAAAAAAAGAGCCUUUUGAUCAUUUUACUGCCCUCUACCCCGAUCUAUGGCCAAAAAUCUAGAAAAAAAAGAACCCUUUGGAUCUGCCCUCCUCUGUUGCGACUGUUUGGCUAACCCUGAGGGUUAGUUGGCCUUGCAAAACGAAGAGUGAAACGCUGGGUGAAAGGUAAAAGAUUUUGAUUUUAUUUUUACUUUAUAUCUUUUAAGAAUAAAAUGAAUGAAAAAGAUCACCUUUUUUUUGAGUUUAUAUCUGAUUUCAAGAUUUUGUAUUCGAUUAUCUAUCUAAAUUACAUUGAUAUGUUUAGCUUUUAUAGCCAUUUACAAUACUGUAUAUUAUUUCUAUUGUUUUGCUUUCGUUUCUGCCUACUCUGUCUUCUCUUUUUGUUUUGUUUUGCAGGGGCGAGGUCAACGGAGGCAGAGGCUCCAGCUUUUUACCAUUUUGGUGUAAAGGCAAUAGCUAGGGUGUUAGGCCUCGGGACCAGGAGCCUCGGGACGAGCAUGCUAACAUGGCUAAGGGCAGCGGCGCAAAUGGGAGUUGGAAACCCUAGGGUUUCUAAAUUAGAUUAGGUUGAGGGCCUAUUAAUUGGGCUUAGGGUUUUUAUUUUUGGUUUGUAAUAAUUUGGACUUGGACUAUUUUAUUAUUAUUAUUUUGUUUUAUUUAUUUGGUUUUGGGCCUGGGUAAAUUGGGCCUACUACAGCUGCCCUUCUUUGCUCGUUGUUGUAUAACGAGAAUAGAGCAAAGACUUUUUUAAGAAUGACCAAUUUCACCCGGUCUCGUCGAAUCUUGACUUCUUAAUACUUAUCCUCUUCAAAUAGCCUCAUUCCAACCCACUGCCCCUUUAGGGGUAUAGGAAUUAUCGCUUCAAUUUACUCUACUGCAACUUCAGAGAGAUGAGAUUUGUAAUUUCAACCUGCUCCACUACAACUUCAGGGAGAUAAGGCUGGUGGCUUCAAUAUGCUCCACUGCGACUUCAGGAAGAUAAGAUCCGCCAUAAUUUGUAGCUUUAAUCUGUUCAACUACAACGCUAGAGAAAUAAGAUCCACUGUCUUCAGUUUGCUCCGUUGCAACUUUAAGGAGAUAAGGCUAGUGGCUUCAAUCUGCUCCACUGCAACUUCAAAAGAUAAGAUCCACCAUAAUUUGUAGCUUUAAUCUGUUCUACUGCAACGCUAGAGAAAUAAGAUUUGUUGUAUUCAGUCUGCUCCGCUGCAACUUUAGGGAGAUAAGGCUAGUGGCUUCAAUAUGUUCCACUGCAACUUCAGGAAGAUAAGGUUCGCUAUAAUUUAUAGCUUUAAUCUGUUCCACUGCAACGCUAGAGAAAUAAGAUUCCCUGUCUUUAGUCUGCUCCGCUGUAACUUCAGGGGGAUAAGGUUGGUGGCUUCAAUCCAUUCCACUACAACUUCAGGAAGAUAAGAUCUGCCAUAAUUUGUAGCUUUAAUUUGUUCCACUGCAACGCUAGGGAAAUAAGAUUCGCUGUCUUCAGUCUGCUCCGUUGUAACUUCAGGGGGAUAAGGCUGGUGGCUUCAAUCUGCUUCACUGCAACUUUAGAAAAUAAGAUCCACCAUAAUUUGUAGCUUUAAUCUGUUACACUGCAACGCCAGGGAAAUAAGAUUCGCUAUCUUUAGUCUGCUCCGCUGCAACUUCAGGGAGAUAAGGUUGAUUGCUUCAAUUUGUUCCACUGCAACUUCAGGAAGAUAAGAUCCGCCAUAAUGACUUUAAUCCAUCCCACUGCAAUUUUAAGGGUAUAGGAUUUUUGGUUUCUCUGAUAUAUUACACCAUCCAUUGGGGAACAUGACCUAUAAAAUCCAUUUCAUUGGCCUAUUUAUGCCAAAUGAUUAGGAUGUUAUGAUUAAAAUGAAUCAACUGCUCCUAACUAGAUGUGUAUAAAUGAUAUUUGCAUGGAUGCAGAAUGUCACGAGAAUGAUCCCUUUUUAAGGUUUGGGUUGCCAUUACUCGUUGUUCAUCAAGGUUCUAUCACUAACAUAUUAUCCUGCCUUCUUAUUCAGCUGGUAUCUUUGCCAGAAAACUCGAAGAAUAAUCACAAUUUGGGAUAUUAUUUCUCCAAUGUUUCUAACCCUUAGGUCUAGUUAGUUCUAAAUAAUAGUCCUAUUUCAGGUCAUCGUACUAUUUAGAAGCUUUCGAAGUAAUAUGCAGAACUCCUUUUGCUUGAAUAUUAUCAGUCCAUUAAUUGUUAUUUCAAUGAAAAAUGCUUGAAAAAGAUUAUCACAAUGGAUAAGAUGAAAUUUUAUUAAGAGCAAAGCUCGAAAUGAAUAAAUUAAUCAAUAUAGUAAAUUUUGCUAAGAUACAAAAUGAAUAAGAUGAAAAUAGGUGCCUCAGAUAUCGUAGUAUGAGCUUCUCUGCACAAAACUUCUUGAGGACCCUUUGAACUUGAUAUGUGUUUAGAAGUCCUAGAAGACCUUGUUGAUGCCCAAAGAUGUAGCGUCCCUUCUUCUUAUUAAUUCAGAGAGGACAUGACUACUACAUGCCCACAUUUGAUCAAAAAUUUGAAUUGCCUAUUCUUGGGUUUUCAACUCAAAACCACUUUGGUCUCAAGGCGUCCUUUGCGGGUUUUCAUCUUGGCCUCUCCUUUUUCUUUUCUUUUUCUUCUUCUUUUUUUUAAGAAAAUUUUUUUGAUUGAAUCUAAACUCAUAGGAUUAGGCAAGCCCUUGUUAUCCCUCCUAGUCAAAAUCAACGCUUUUCCAAAUAAAGCAUUCCACAUAAGGUCUUUUCUAGUUUGGCAUCCACUUUCUUCUGAAGUCCUUUUGCAUCGGAAUGAUCUUCUUUGAUACCAGUUCCCCCUCAUGGAAUUCUCUAGGGCGAACCUUUUGGUGAGCUUGCAUCAUUUUUUUGGUACAUUUGACCAUGAUGGAUAACUUUAAACUUUUUCUUCAAUCGGGAUUGGAUCCAAAAAAACUCAGAAAGAAAGAAUCUCAACUUCAAUGGACAAAACUGCGAUAAGCCAAAGAGAAAGGCGUUGCCCCAGUAAAGUUUUUUUUUGCACCGUUCAUUUUGGGGUAAUAUGGUGUUAAUCUUGAACAGACUACAAACUUCUGAUAUCGCGCUGUUAUUAGUGCAUUGUUAGAUAUGAUCCUUUUUAGAAUUCCAUACCGACAUAUGAUUUCUUUUUUUUCAAAAAUUUACUAACUGCCGGCUUGGUGACAUUGGUAUAUAUAGCAGCUUCCACCCACUUAGUAAAGUAAUCGACAACCACAAAGAUGAAUCGAUGACCGCCAUAAGCUUUUGGCGAGAUCGGCCCAAUGACAUCCAUGCCCUACAUAAAGAAAGACCAUAGAUUCUAUUGAUUCUUUAUAAGGUAGGAUCUGUUUCUCAUCUUAUUCUACCAUCUUUAACAAAUCAGGAGAUAAGUUAUAGUCUCAAUCAUCUUCAAAGUCCUAUGAUUGCUCUGGACAUAUAUCUUGCUCAAAAGGAGGUUCUGAGUCAAUAGUAGUGUCGCUCAUAUCAUUGAUAUCUGGAGACCUGUUAUAGGGACGAAGGAAUAUCCAAAGAACAAAAGAAUCAAAGAAUAUUUAUCUGUAUAGUAUGAUUAUGAAUGAAAUAAAAGAAUAUUUCCUUAAAGUGAGAAACAAAGAUGCAUUUUUAUUGAAAUAAAGAUGUUGGACAUAAGUCAAUUUCACAAAAGGAUUCUUAUUGCUUCUAGGCUUAAAUCAACAAGCGUGUUUUGAACAUUACUCUGAAUCAGCUCUAAAAACUAUAUGAAUCUCUUCCGCAGUCGAAUUGUUCAGAACACUUCCAGGCUCAUAAAGGCAAAUGCCUGAUAAAUUUUCUCUUUCAAUUCUUUCUUCAGAUAUAGCAUUGAUGCUCUAAUUUCUGAACAUUCCUUCCGGGUCUUUAGUAUAUUUAAAGAAUUCUAAUUCCUUAUUAUCCAUCAGGCCUUGCACCAAGGCUCUGAAUUUAUUACGCUUUUGAAUCUCGUGACCCUCUUCAUUAUGGAACUCACAGUAGUUCCUUGCUUCUCCGGGUUUCUCCCCUAAAUCUUGUGUGAUUAAUCCUCAUUCUUCCAUUUUCUUCUAAACCUCCCUUAGCGGGGUUUUCACUUCUACUAUGUCUGUUUUGAUUCUCCUCCAUGCACUCUCGAAUAUCGAGUUUACUCCUUUGUCAGAAUAGUUGGGUAACAGAUUUUCUACACUAGAUGGAUCAUCGAAUUUUACAAUACCUAUUUUGAUUAGUCUUUCGAUUAUCUUUUUGAAAGCGAUGCAGUUCUCGAUCGAGUGUCCUAUGAUUCCUGUAUGGUACUCACAUUGGGCAUUCGUAUCGUACCAUUUGGGGCAUGGGGGCUACAUAGAUUUUAGGUAGAAAAGGGAUACUACACGUGUAUCAAACAAAUUUUAGUACAACUCCCCAUACGUGAUUGGGAUGGGCGUGAACCAGAGUUUUUCUUAGUUCGGUCUUGGAUUGGGUUCUUGCCAUGGGGGGAUCUGAUGGCUAGUAGUUGUCGUCCUUGGCUGGCUUACAGUAAUCGGCUUUGAAUAGCCAUUGUUAUACAUACUCGCAUUAUUCACCACAUUUUCCAUCUUCCUCGGGGCUCUUAAAGUAUUGAUUUGGGAGCUCCACUCUUGCUUUUUUCGUUUGUAACGAUUUUCAAAUUGUUUUGAGAGCUCCACUCUCGCUUGUUUUGUUUUCGCUAGGUCAUCCAAAUCAAGGAUAACAUGAUUGGUUAGAUUAUCCCCCAGGUUAGAACCUGAACCUGAACCUGUCAGAAAGUUCACCGGUGUCGAGGUAUCAAUCUGGUAUUGGGGUCUGAUGUUAACACACACUUUUUAUGGAUACACGUUUGGUUGUGCUUGGGUGUUUGUUGGAGUAAAACCUGGAGGAUAAGCAGGGUCCUCGUUAUCGUCCCCGGAAUUGACCAUAGGGCUCUUUUCUUUUUCUAACCCUCCAGCCAGCAACUAAGUUAACUGGCUCAUAACAUUUUUUUAGAAUUCUAGCAUCUAAUCCUCAUAUCUUGUUGAAUUUUAGCCAAUUGCUCUUGUAUAUGUAUUUGCAUUCGCUCUAAUGUCUCCAACCUUUGGUCCAUUUCUUUAGUUUUUCCUCGUGUAUCGAUAUUCCAAGAUAACUGCCAAGAUUGUAGGGUCCUUUUGUGAGAUUUAAUGCAUAUGAUGCAAUGAAAGCAAAAGAAAGAGGCGUUGAUUCUGAUUCAAUUAUAUUAGAACAACUUUUCUAGAAAACAAAUAUUUUUACAUAAAACAUAUAUUUAUACGGCCUUGCCCUCAUACUACAGGCGAAGACAUCGAUUCUUUCUUCAUAUCCGGAUGUUAAGAUCAAAUCUCGCGAACUUUCAAAUGGAUGCCUCUAGUAGCUUCUUUUUACUCGAUCCAGGCUGUGACCCAUUGCUCACUUAUCCUUGUGAUACUCAUUAACUUCUUUAAAAAAGCUGGGAUGUUGACGACUCUCGAAUAAGCUUUGUCGGCUUGAAUCUUCGGGCAAAGGAGCAAGGUCGUGUACUCUUCUACGGUAGGUACCAAAUCCACUUUUCUGAAAGUAAAACAACUAUAAGUAGUGUUCUAAUACUGGGCGAGAGCUCGGUAUAGGUGCUCGUCCACUUUGAUAUAGAGUAGAUUAGAGGUGUUCAUGGGCCGGGCCGGGUUCGGGCUGGGCCCAUAAAAAAAUUUUGGCUUGAGUCCUAGGCCCAGGCCCGAAAUAUCGGCCUAAAAUUUUGUCCAGGCCCGGCCGGGGGAAAAAUUCCUAAGCCCGGGCCCGGCCUGGCCCAUUUUUUAAGUAAACACCAAAAAAAAAUUUAGAAAAUUAAAAAAAGUAUUUUAAAAAUAUUUUAAAAAUAAAAAAAAGUAUUUUAAAAUAUUUUUAAAAAUAAAAAAUAUAUAUUUAUUAUAUUCGGGCCUGGCUGGACCCGGCCAAAAAGGUGGUGCCCGAGGCCCGGCUCAUUUUCUAAAUGGGCCUCAUUUUUUUGCCCAAGCUCAUAUUUCGGGCCUAUAUUUUUACCCAAACCCUCCCAUAUUUGGGGCGGGCCGUCGGCCCGGCCCAUGAACACAUCUAGAGUAGAUAGGGCAAAUCACCAUAAUGACAGUAGAAUAGUUGCUUAGUCUCGUCAUCCCACUAAUCCCAUAUUUCUUUCAUCUCUUGAAGAUUAUUUUGGGUUACACUGAUACGAGUGAAAUCUCACAACUUCGACACGUAUCCCUCCAUAAGACUAUUACCUUUCUCUUGAUGCGUUGUCUCGGCCCAUAUCCGGACGGCCGCAUUAUCUUUCACUUUAUUAAGAAAUCUAUUUUCCAUGACAAGCUCUCUAUUUAGUAACUGAACGUGAAUCAACACCUCUUUUCUAUGAAAAUACAAUACAAUACAAUCAAAACCAAAACAAAAGAACACGUCAGUACAAAAAACCAUAAAUGACAAACACAACACCUAUUUGAAUGACCACUAGAGGUUUGGAGUGGUUCUACCUAGGGUGGGCUCUUAAGGCUUGCUAUAUGGGGUUCGGUUCUAAAGUAAAAGUACCUAAAUCGGUAGAUUCCUCGAUCUUCACCCAUUAUAGGCUCAUAUGGACUGAGUUCAGUUCAGGGGAAUACAUUUCCCUAUGGCUACACGGAGAUAAAAAUCUCACGAAGACAUAGGUACAGAUGUAUCUCGAAAGCGAUCCACUAUCCUACAAUGAGGUGAACACCUCACGAAGGAAUAGUUUCUCACUCCCACUUAAAAGGGUAAGAUCGAUUGAUCAUGCGAGGCAAUAUGUAGAAAGAUACCAAAACUUAAACCAAACAGCAAUUAUAAACCACAAUGAUGAAGAUCGUAACAAAGACGGAUGAAAUGCAACGGAAGGAUCGUACUUAUAAACCAAGUUUUCAAUUUUCGACAAAAAGUAAUCAACUCGUGGCUUGACUCUCUUAUUUUGGGUCCCCAGUGGAGUCGCCAAGCUGUCAAAACCAUUUUUUUGAAAUCGACUUUUAUUUAAAAAUGAAAAUGGAGUCGCCACCAAUCCUUUUUAUUUAGGUGUGAUCGGAUCACCUCAUAAUUUAAUCAUUUUAAUAAAAUUUUAAAUUUACUAAAAUGAUAAUUUUUUGUCUACAAAAUCCAGAAAACGGGUUCGGGAGUCAAUUAUGCACGAGGAAGGAUUAGCAUCCUCGAUACGCCCAAAAUUGGUACCUAGUUGAUUACUUAAUGUCUUGGUGUCGAAGAUUAAAAACUCGAAAAGAAUUUAAAAUAUGAUCCCUCUUUAUAUUGCGUUAUUUUAAAAUUACUCGAAUAAAUCAAAAUAUGUAAAAUGCCUCAUUAUCUUGAAGUAACAAGAUGUCACAUCCCGUAAGUUAGGACACGACACAUUGUAUUUUUUAGAAUAAGCUUGCCUUUUAUUUUUUAUUUGAACCUCAUUUAUUUUAAUUUUAAAAGGAUAUCUGGUUAUUUAGGUUCAACGCGAGAAAAAUCAAAACCCAGUAAGUUAGGGCACGACUUCUCGAAUUUCUAAAUACGGAAUAUUGUCUUUAUUUUCAAAAUUUUCUUUUUUACGAAUUUGGAUAAAAAUUAAUGUAAGACUGAUAUAUGAAUAAAAUGUUACGCUAAUGAAUGACAAUAAUAUAAAUGUACUAAUAAGCUAUUCAUAAUACAUAUCACUUUAAUACCAAUAUUAACAAUCAAAGAAAAAAAUAAAAUAAAUAAAUAAUAAAAACAAAUAAUGACGAUGAUAACAAAAAUAGUUCUAAUGACAAAAUAUGCGCAUGAAAUGACAAUACCAAUUUUUAAAUAUAAUGAAGACAAAGAAAUAAAUAAAUAAAUAAACAUAAAGGAAAAUAUUAUAUAUAAUAUGAAAUUAAAUAACUUAAUUAAAAUAUAAAUGAAAUUAUGGGUGCAAUUUGUAAUAAGAUACAUAAAUAAAUAGUAAUAAUAAUAAAUACAAUAAUAAAUAUGGUACAAGAAAAACAGAAAAUAAAAAAAUGUAUAAAUAUAAAUAAAUACAAAGAAAUGUAAAAGAUUGAAAGUAAGGGACUAAAUCAGAAUCUAAGCCAAAUUUAAAGUAAAAAUCAUAAUAAAAUAAAUAGAUUAAGUAAUAAAUAAUGUAAAGGGCUAAAAUCAAAUGUGUAGAAACAAGUGGGAACAAAGGACUAAAUCGAAGCACGAAAAAAAUUAGUGGCCCAAAUUUCAAAAAAAAUCCAAAAAGGUAACAAAUGACUAAAUUGAAGCGCAUCCCAAAAGCGGAAGGACCGAUUGCGCAAAUAACCCAUGCGCUAGAAAACACGCGGAUCCUGGGGGUCUUGGGUCGGAUCUCGGGUUAAGAGCCAAAACGGUGUCAUUUUGGGGCUAUUGAAGCCAACCCUAAACGGCAUUGUUUAAAGAGUCUAUAAAGACUACAAUUAAAAAAAAUCAUUUGCACCCUUUUCUUUUAAAAAAACUUUGAGAGCUCUCUCAUGCUCUCUCUCAACCCUCUGCCACCCCUCAGCCUUCUAGCUCCGGUCGUCGGACCACCAUGACGGCCGCCAGUUGCCGGCGACGGCGCCGCCGUACACGGUGGCCGACAACAUAAAAAAGAAAGACCUUUGAUCAUUUUACUGCCCUUUACCCCGAUCUAAGGCCAAAAAUCCAAAAAAAAAGGAGAACCCUUCGGAUCUGCCCUCCUCCGUUGUGAUUGUUUGGCUAACCCUGAGGGUUAGUCGGCCUUGCAAAAUGGAAAGCGAGAUGCCGGCAAAAAGGUAAAAGAUUUUGAUUUUAUUUUUACUUUAUAUCUUUUAAAGAAUAAAAUAUCACCCCUUUUUUUGAGUUUAAAUCUGAUUUCAAGUUUUGUAUUUGAUUGUCUGUUUAAAUUACAUUGAUAUGUUUGGCUUUUAUAGCCAUUUACAACAUUGUAUAUUAGGUCUAUUAUUUUGCUUUCAUUUCUGCCUACUCUAUCUUCUCUUUUUGUUCUGGUGCAAAGGCAGUAGCUAGGGUGUCAGGCCUCGGGACGGGGAGCCUCGAGACGAGCGUGCUGAAGUGGCUGAGGGCAGUGGCGCACAUGGGAGUUGGAAACCCUAGGGUUUCUGAAUUAGAUUCGAUUGUGGGCCUAUUAAUUGGGCUUAGGGUUUUUAUUUUGGGUUUGUAAUAUCUUGGACUUGGCCUCUUUUAUUAUUAUUUUGUUUUAUUUAUUUGGUUUUGGGCUCGGGCAAAUUGGGCCUACUACAGUAGCUAUGUAGCAAAAAAAUAGAAGACAUCAUAAUGAACCUAAAUUUAAAAUAGAAUUUUAAAUGUUAACAAUUAGACUUAUAUUUUAACCUUCACAAUUUAAUUCACUUGUUUUAGAAUAGAUAUACUCUAUCUCAAAUUUGAGCUAACAUUUAAUGCACAAACCAAUGACAAAGAAUCUGAUUGAUGCGAUACUAAAACCUUAAGGGCUUAAUUAGAACAUUUUAAAGUUAGGAAUCAAUUCAAAAUAUGCCAUAAUUUGAGGACAUUUGAUGAAUUAACCCUUUGAUAUAAUAAGGCAUCUCUUCCUAUUUGGGCUCAUUCAAGGUAUCACUUCUCUUGCCAAGACAAGGACAAGCUAAAGGGAAAAAAGACAUCACCAUGACUAAUUAAGCUUUUUGAAAAUUGCUUUUAUGCAUUCUUUACAAUAUCCAAUCUUGUUAACAGGAUUGCAAACAUCUAUAUUAUUGUUAAUGUUUUGAUUGAUUUCAUAUAUAUAUAUAUUUGGGCAAUUUUUAAAUUAUUGUGUGGAACUUGAAAUUUCCAUGUUUCUGCAUAACUUGUAAAAGAAGUAAACCAAUGAGAAACUCAGUCAUUCAAACCUAACCCAAAUUUUCUUGCACUAAGAAUGGUAAAACAUGGACCCAACAAAUUGGAAAAACAACAAACAAGAAGAGAGCUCAUUAACAUGGGGACCCCAUCAAGCACAUGACAACCAUUAGACUGAUUGGGGAAUAAAAAAUGCUAUAGCUAGUUUACAAAUUUGGAAUUCUAAAAUUUAGGUGGAAUUAUUAAUAUUAAUUUUUUUAUUAAAUUUUGUUAGUCUCACGUUUUAAAAUAAAAAAAAUAUUAGUUUGGCAUCAAUGUAAUUAAAAAUUAAUAUUAUAAUGAACUUGAAUUCAACAAAAUAAUUUUAACAGUAUUAAUAAUUAGACUUAAAUUUUAAAAUCUAAAAAGUUAUAUAUAUAUAUAUAUAUAUAUAUAUCUUUGCCAUCUUCCAAUGAGAAACUGAAUUAUGUGUGAAUAUAAUUUAGAUGGUCCCCCAACACUUGCCUUGCCAAGACCGGAACAGACACACCAGGCAAGAAAAAUGAUUUUACCCCAAAAAAAAAGAAAGAAAGAAAAAGAAAAAAAGAACUUAAUUAAUAUCCAUUGAAUUAGUUCUAAUGAAAGGACUACAAUGUCCCCACUAUAAAGAAAAUUAAAUAAGCAAUAGAUUAGUGUAAAUAAAAGAAUAAACUACAUUCCAAUAGAAUUAAGCUGUCUUAGCUCGAUUGGUAUGAAUAUUGUUGUCAAUGUAGGAGGAUGUGGAUUUGAAUAUAUUGAUGCGCAUUAUUCUCCUAUUUAUGGGUUGGAGAGAGACUAUGGGUAGUUCUAAAUAUUAUCUUAAAAAGAAUAGAUAUUAUCAGAAUCUAUAAUGAGAUUGUUUGGUUUUAAUGUUUAAUUUAGUAUUUGAGUUGUUUUUCUUUUUCAGAUUUGAUACUUGUGUUUGGCUUUAAUGUUCAGUUUAGUACCCAAAUCAAACGGCAUCAUGUGGCUCAAUGAAUAUUUAAUAUAUGUGCUAUAAAUCUAAUAAGAUAUUAUAGAAUAAAUUGUAGAUGAAGAAUAAAAGAAAUUGUAAAUGUUAAAAUUCAAAAUUAAAUGUACGAAAUUACACACUUUUUUUUAAUGAAAAAAGCAUCAACCAAGAAGGGUUCUUUUUCUCAGCUUUGUUUUGUAGUAAAUUACAUGAUUAAAUCAGCAAAUAUGGGUGAAAAAUGUGAUGAGAUCAUUCAAAACAUUAAAAUAAUGGCUUGAAUUUAGUAUACUUUUAAAAGAGAGUGACAUAACCAUAAUGCAAGUGUGAUGCAACUUUCUCAUCAUUAUAAUAUAUAUAUAUUUAGGUAUGUAAGAUUAAUCGUUAAAUUAUGAGUAAGUUUUUGUUUUGGUAUUUAACUAAAAGAAGUUAAAUUUAGUCACUGAACUAUUUAAAAGUUUUUAUUUAGGUCAUUGUGUGGUUAAGUUUUUUUUUUUAAAGUUCCGCCAGUGAGCUCCAAGCAACGAUUUGAUGAUUGGUACGGUAGAUCAGUACCCAUCGACAAGUUAUUUAGGUCAUUGUUUGAAUUUUAUUUACAAAUUCGUGAUGUCCAAAGUUAUUUCAUAAAAAAAAAUUGAAUUGUAAAAGAGGAGGAAAUAAAGCUUUUGAAUGGUGCAAGCAGUGCGAAGAGAGAAAGUCAUAUAACAUUGGUUUUAACAGUCUAAUAACUUAGAUGAAAACUUUUGAAUAGUUUAGCGACCAAAAUAAUAACUUAUCCAUAGUUUAGUGACUAAUGGUGUAGUUUACUCUUUUUUUACAACUACAAUCAGAAUAAAGAAUUUUACAGUUAUUGAAUUGAAUAAUUAAUUUAACAACAAAUUAACUAUAACCACAUAAAUUUGAAAAGAAAACUUACACAUUUGGGUAGGACUUGAACACCCAUCUCAAAUUUCUUAAAACCUCAACUUUAUCAUUUAGUCCAAAGUUGAUUUACUAUAUGGUCCGAAAAUUUUAUUUGAAUGGUUUUAAUUUAUUUAUUUUUCAAACUUUUUGACUCAGGAAACUUUGGCUGAAAAAGCUUUAAAGAAAAUUAUUUGGUACAUUGUUAGUAGAGUUUUAAACUUCACAAAUAGGAUUAGGGGUUGACAAGAAUUUUAUAGAAGUAUAAUAUAAUGUUAAAAAAUAAAUAUUAAAAAAAAGACAUAUAUCAAUUUUUUUAAAAAUUAAUUGUGAAAUAAAACAAAUUCAUUUUUACAUACCCUAAAAUUAUUACCUACAGAAAAGUAGGUCAAAAACAUCAAACAUAUCUUUUUGAAAAAGAAAUAAAAAAAAGUCAUUGUUGACAUUUAUAUGAAAUAUUUAAUCACUUUGUUUGAAUUAAUUAUUUAAUUUAAUAUUUAUAAUCAAUGGAUAUGACAAUAUAAUAGGGAUCUAUUAACACCACAUACGUCACAUAUUAAGUUCAAGGGGAGCUAUUCAAAUAAAUGCCUAUCACUUGCUUUUCGAAAGCUCAAACCCGGAUGAAUUCUAUUAACGAACAUCCCUUAAUCACCAAACCAAUCACGAGAGUUUAUAUAAUUUUAUUAAAUCUUAACUAAAAAUUAAAAGGAAUAUAUGCCUAUCUUUCAUAAGUUAUAUAACAAAAUUUCAAAUAAUUCAUAGACUAAUAGAAAUGAAAAUUGAUUGUUUGAACCGGACUAGUUGGGUCAAAUCGAGAAUCGAUCAAAGUAUCAAUUCAGAAAAAAAGUAAUGGAUUGGUUGACUUGAGAACCAAUACGGACUAAUUGUACCGAGCAAAAAAAAUGAUUGAAUCAGACAAUUGAUUUUUUUUUAAUUUUUUAAAUUUUUUAAUGAUUUAAACCUUUAUAAAGCGUAAAUAAUUUUGUGUUGCCUUAAAUUUUAAAGUUAAAUACUUAUUACUGGAUAUCGGAUUCAGGUUACAACUUACAAGCCCUUUUUCAGUUUUUCUUUACUCUUUGAUAAAAAAGAAGAAGAUAAAUCAACAUUUAGCUCUUGAACUUUAUAAGUUUCUCAAUUUGGUCCUAAAACCUUUUUUUUUCAUAAUAAUACUGAAACUUAACAAAUUUUUUUUUGAUAUUAAUCUAUGUGAAAAUGUGGCAUUAUACUAUUGUGUCUCGUUGUCCAAAAAUUAUAUUUUGAUCAAAAUAAAUAAUGACAUGGUGCUUUAAUAUUGUGCAAUGUCAUAAAAAAAAGAGUAAUUUCCGGUGAAUUUGGUUUGGGGCUUUAGGCCAAGAAGCACGAGUUGGCAUCCACCAAUUUCGCUCGUUAAAACUUGGGCCAUGGCGGAAUUGUAGUAUGGGUGGAGUAAUAAAUGUUUGGGUAAAUUACACUACAUGUUACCCAAUUAUGGCUCAGUUUUUUUUAGUCACCUAAUUAUGAUUUUUUUUAAAAUUGGUCACUUAAUUAGUUAGGUUUGUUUUUUGGUCAUUUUCCGUUAAGUGUAGUUAACAAUCCAACUAGACCUAAACGUGGGUCGAGUUGGGUCAAUACAAAAUUUUAGGCUUGCGCUUGUCCCAAAACUCGGGCCUAAAAUUUUAUCCAAGCCCAACAUGUAUACAUUAAAAAAAUUAUAUCAUUUUUAUAUAAAAAUAAAUUUAAAAAUAUAAGACAUCAAAUACUCCAAAAACAUUAAAAUAAAUAUUUCUCAACAAAUUGAAAAUACAUAAAAAAAUAUUUAUAAUUAAAUAACAUUAAGAUAGUUGCAGCUUAGCAAGCAAAUACCUCUAAAAUAGUAGUAAAAUUAAUAAUAAAACAAGAGUUAUACAAUAUUCAAAUAAAAACAACAAAAUAGUAACAAUAUAAUAGUAAACUAGUAGCAAAUAGCAACAAAAUAGUAGCAAACAAUAGCAAAAUAACACUGAAAAAAAUUAGGUAAAUUCGGGCCAAAAAAAUCUUACCUCGUUUUUUGUCCAAACCCAUUUUUUUGCUUAUAUUUUUGCCAAAACCCUCUCACUUUUCAGUUGAGUCUUUAGGUUUGAGUUAGUGGCUCAAUCCAUGAUAUGGUCUAAUUCUAAUAGAUGAUGUGGCAGCUUAAAAAUUGGUAUAAUAAUAAAUUUAGUACUCAAUUUUAUAUAUAAUGUCAAUUUAGCCAUUGUUUUCAAAGAUUAGCCCUCAACAUUGCGAAUUAUUUCAAUUUGGUUGAAAAUUAACCCUCAGCGUUGAAAGGAAGGGUAUAGCCCUGAUAUUUUUGGAGCUUUCCAAGCAGGGUUUUGAGGCUGCAAAGUAGCUGAGAGAGCUUGGAGAGAUUAGGGUCGUUGCUAAGAAUGGGAUUCACGUCCUUUCCAAGGUCUAGAAAAGGUUCAAGGGUGGAUUGGGGUUCAUGUGUUGAAAAAAUGGGGUUUUUCGGCAGAUUUUUUGAAGCUUUUGAAGGAACGUUAGCAGUGAAAAUAACUGUUGAUUGUCUUGGGAUGAUGUUUGAUCCAUCUUUAGGGGAUACUGCUUAGGUUCGAAGCUUACUGCAUGCGGCGUGAAGGGAGAAAGGAAACUGACAGAACCUCCCAACUACCGGUCCAAACAUGACCAAAGCUUUAAUUACAUUUUUUUUAUUUUUAAUUCUUCGUGUCUGUUUAUGAUUUAUGUUUGGGUUCAUAAUUGUCCCUCCCAAUAAUAUGGUGUUGUUUCAAGCCUCGUAAUUAUCACCAAACAGGGGGCCAAUCCUAAUAACUAUCAACAUAUGCGACAACCUUCUACUGUUUCUACACCCAUUCCAGUUUCCAUUCAAUUUCUUAUCUACCAACAAACGAAAGUACUUUCAAUCCAAUUUGUUGUUUGUGAAUUAAAUUUCUUUUAAAAAUUAACCCUCAAUAUUGCAAAUUAUUUCAAUUUGGUUAAAAAUUAACCCUCAACACUGAUUAGGCAUUUUGAAACUAUAGGUACUAUAUUAGAACAAACCUUAAAGUACAGGGGCUUUUCAUGCCAUUAUCCCUUUUUUAAAUUAGGACCAAAUUGAAAUAAUUUGCAAUACCAAGGGUUAUUUUUAAAAAAUUAUGAUUAAAUUGACACAAUAUAUAAAGGUUGAGGGCUAAAUUUGUUAUUUUUAAGCUGCCAACUCACCCUUCCAUUAAAUAGUUAAUGGCACUUAAUGGAAAAUAACCUAAAAAGCAAACCCAAUUAAUUGGGUGACCAAUUUAGAAAAAUUUAUAGUUGGGUGACCAAAAAGGAAAUUAGCUCAUAGCUAAGUGACCUAUGGUGUAGUUUACCCAUUAAUAUAUAAUUAAGUCUUAGAUCAAUUAACGAGUUAGUGUUAUAAUUUGAAAGAUGUAGAUUCAAAUACGCCCAAAUCUAUAAUACUUUUUAGUUUAAAGAUCAAAGAGUUAUGGAUAAUUUUAAUAUUGUAAAAAUGACAAGAUAAAAUAAAAAAUAUUUAGAUAAUUUUAACAUAUAUUUUUUUCAAAAAAACUAAUGCAACACGCACCACGAUGAAAUAAAAAUUGAUAUAAGUAGAUAGACAUGUUUAAGGUUUAAACUAUUUAUUCAAAUUUAAAUGUCAACUCGAAAUUUGAAAAGGUUUUACAAAAACCUCGUUUAAAAUAUGAAUGUGUUUGUUUCACUUUCUAAAAUUGAAAUAAGACAUAUUUUCAGGUGCGAAUCUAGCGGGGUUGGUAGGUGCCUGGCCCUUUAAGGUUUUUAAAAUUUUAAAUUAGUAAAAAUAAAGUUGUACUUUGGUCUUUGGCCCAAAAAUAAUAAAAUUUUGAUUUAAUCAUUUAAAAAUUACAUAUUUAUUAUCAUAAAAAUUACAAUUUAAUUUCGGCUCCUUAAAAAAAUUUACUGGCUUCGCGCCAGCAUGUUUUCAAGUUUAUAAUAUGUAAUUUAAUUUAUUUCAUAUAUUAUUAUAGAAAAAUAAUUAAAUAUAUAUUAAGUUAUUUAUGUUAAAUAUUAAAUAUAAUUAUUAUAUUAAAAAAAACAAAUAAUAUAUGCAUAGUCCCGAUCCAAACCGAUCCGGUGCCGGUCCAUCAAGUAAAGAAUCUAAAUACUUUCGCGCCUAAACCAACCAGAAAACAGCGCCAGAGAGAGGCAAAGCAGAAACGCCUGAAACCGCCGCUACAAACGCUGCUCAAGCCGCCGUCACCAUACCAGCACCAGCCAAACGUUAACGGAGCGUUUCCCGUUCUUUCUUCUCCUUAGAGAAGAGGAGCUAAUGGUAAUUUUAUUUUCUUUCAGCGCUUUCUUGUUGUCCACUUGUGUUGCUUGAUCUUCACAAUUUUUGAUGAAUUGUUUGUGAAGAUGCCUGAAAGAAUUUAGGGGCUUAUACUUUCCGGUAUUCAAACUUUAUCAUUUAAUAGAUAUAAAUGUAGACAUAAAAUAAUCAAAACCAAUUGGAUGGCUUGAAAUUACUAGACAUAUUUAUUUUGCUAUUGAGUCCUUUUUUGCUUGCAGGAAGUUAAUCAACAGGCUAGAUGUAGAGAGUUGGCUAAAUCGUCCUCAUUUUAUAGUACUGUUUACUCUGAGGUCAUUUAAUCUUUUUUUUUUUCCCUCUAUAUUUAUUCUAAUGUCAACCAUUUUAUGGGUUUUGUUUGGUUUCUCUUGAUGAGUUAUUUUUAUUUGUACAGAUAGAAGAGGUCGGAUGGGAUCAUUUGGUGAGGGCGGGAGGAGAUCUAAGUUUCCUUAUUUUUCGUGUUUUGUAAGUACCCUUUUGAUUGUAUUGACAAUCCAUCUAAUAUGGGAAAGCUUUGGUUUUCUUUUGGAGCAUUAGAUUUUGUAGUAAACAGCUAGUGCAACUUCCAGGGUUAGUCACAUAAUCAUGAUAAUCCUUUGGUUUUCUGCAAACGAAUGGAAUCUGUAUAUUUUCUUAGGAUGGUGAUGAUAAUCUGGGUUAUGUAGCUAACCUGCAAUAUCCAGCUUGGUGCUGUCUUUAAUUGUUCUCACUGUAUCCAUUACUAGCUCUUUUUGUACUCCAUUCUUAUCAAUGUUAUAAUCAUGUACUUUUAUAAAGAUAUGGUAUUGAUACAGAAUUGGCUAUAUCUGAAACUAAAGGCUUGAAUAUAUUUUCUGAAAAUUGAUAAACAGUUGAUAUUGGAGUUAUAAAAUCCUCAGUACACCAUAUAUUUCUAUAUACCUGUUAAGAUGUUUCUAUUGUCGAACUUUGGUAUUGGUACUGUAACCCUCUGUAGUUUUGUUCUCCUUUAAUAUUUCAUGUUAUCCUCUUUGUUCCUAGUUGCUUAUCCUGUUAUCCUUCUUGUAUAUUUCGGUGCUAGAGAUAAGAAGGGAAGAGUGCAUGUUAUGGAAAUUCAGUUGGAUAAAGCUUAUCCUAGAGUUCCUCCAAUGGUUUCAGCUGUUUGUCUCCUAUCUUUUUGGUCUUAAUUCUUCCAAUGUAGUCCUACAGGUGUUUUAUCUUACUCUGCUUUGUUCUCAGGAUGUUCCCUAUAUCUUCAAUUUAAAAUGGUCAAUGAACUCGAGACUGAAAAACUUGGUACAACAGUUUGAGAAGGUAUUUGCUUCGACAUUUUUGAACCCAAUGUAGUUCCAUUCUGCUUCAGAACAUAUUUUUGGUGCCAUGGCAUGUUUAACUAUUGUCAGAACUUUGGUGUUUUCUCUUUGUAUCCAGCAUCUGGAGAAGCUUCAAGGAUUCUGGUCUACCUUGGACGAAAUUGACAGGUCUCUUCAGAUUGUUGAUUCAAAGCAAGCAUCUCGUGCCAUUCCGAGUCGCCAAAUCCACGUAGGUGAGUCAUUACUUCAUUCCGUCUUCUUUUAUGUACAUUAAAAUUUUCUUGCCCCCUCCUUUAUUACUGAACACAAGGUUUAACUAUUUGGUACUCAGGAAAUGAUUGCUUCAUCAUAUUGUUCAUCGAUAUCAAUGAUCCUAGAUCAUUACCAGAGUAAGAAUUCAUAUAAAAUUAUAUUAAAAGCUGCUAGCAAGUUGGUUUUGUUCAGCAUGAAUAACGAAUAUUUAAGUGUUUGUAGGUGUCGUUUUAUGGGUUUAGGUAAUACUGUGAACUCCUUGAGAAAGACAUGGAAAAGAAAUGUUGAUAAAUGGUAUGCCCUUGAGUCUCAUCUUAAAUUUUUAACUUUUGCACUAGUGAAGUGAACGUGUGGUUAACAGUGGAGGAAGAAAAUUACCGAGUUGCGUAAUUUUCUGCAUGCAAUCUGUUAAUUCCUUCUCUAGUAACAGAGAAUGCCAGAAAUUGGAGCCUUGAAGCCUUCCAUCUAAUUUAAGAGGAUAGAAGCUUAUAACAUCGUGUUGUAUAAGGGAUAGGUUUCAUUCCAUUGUACUAACUUUACAUAGUCUGAUUAAUUGUUUAGGGAGAGGGACAAAGCCUUUUUAGAAAAUCUUGAGUGUCUUUUGAACACCCAAUUGCCAAGGCUUGCUGAUGAAGAGACCAACAAUCAUCUAGAUGAAUGUGGAAUCUGUUAUGCUCAAUAUCUCCCCAUUGGUAAUGCUUCACAUGCUUUAGAUGUCUCUGAACUAUUGUUUUGAGACUUAAUUCUCAAAUGUUCCUGUAGGUGAUGAGCUUGGACCUCAGACUGGAAGUGCAACUGAUUACACUUGUGAGAAUAACAGUUGUAGUAAGGCUUUCCACAGCAUGUGCCUAGUCGACUGGUUGAGGUCGAUCACGACAACAAGGCAGUAAGUGGAGCUCUUAGUGUACUUGUAUCUUUUAAACUACUUCGUAUCGGAGUAUAAUUUUAUUCCUGUCCACUAUGUGCUGUGAUCAAUUCAAAAUUAAUUGCUUGCGGAAUUUCCCGCUUUUGGCAUUGGGCUACCUGUCUACCUGAAUGAUCAAACCUGCAAACAAGUUGGGUCACGUGAUACUCGUCUAUGUCUCCUCCUUUAUAUCUUAUUGAUACACCUAGUAGCCUUUAGUAGAGGUAGAAUCGACCGUUACUGGCCUCAUAUUUUUCAGUUGCGACUAGGUAUGGUAACACUAUUUCUGGAGUCUGAUCAAGAGGGACCUACAUGAAAGUUGAAGGGGCUAUGUUUUUUCCAAGCUUUUAAAGGCACUAGUACAUUAUCCAAAACGUGGUCCAAUAAAUUGUCGGAGCUACUUUUGUCCGUUAGAUUAAAUGGGGUGUUAAGGUUUGCUAAGAUAGUGAUAUAGUGCCUUUUUCUCUUUUGUGUUUGUCGUUUGGCAAAUGACCCUUCAAGUUACAUGAUUCAUGGUACAGACUUUUCAUUCAUAGUAAACCGGGUUGCCUUUGAAUAUGCCUUAUUGCUUGUACAUACCCCACAUUCAAAUUAGCUUUGAUUAUUUGCAAUUAGUUUAUGAAACGAUAUUAGCACAAACCUAUCUUCAAUUUCGACCGUGGCAACUUGGUUGCUUGAUUUAUGGUUGUGAAUGCUUGUGUUGCAGGUCAUUCAAUGUUCUGUUUGGAAAUUGUCCUUAUUGCUCAGAGCCAAUUGCAGUGAAAAUCAAUGCCACAAAGAAUUAAAGAUCUUAUAAGUCAUAAUCUAUGAUCCUAAGCUGAUUCAUCCUGUCCCGGAGAACCCUUUCACGAGCAGAAGAGGCGUGUGAAUUUCCAUUACUGCCAAAGCAGCAAAACUCUGAAGAUUAAAGCUUCUCUUGUCCAUGCAGGUACCUAAAACCAAUUCCGUUUUGCUGAAAUAAGAAGCAUUCAAUGUAGGUUUGUGCUUACUAGCACUAUACUAUUACCUUAUGACCAACAAGGAUCUGUGGCAUUCCCUUCUUUAUGUAUUGUCCUGACUUAUCUAAGGCAUUAUUUACUUUGAUCAAAAGUGUUUCACUUGAUUGGUAGUCUUUCCUUGAAUAUUAGAUUCUUUGUCCCAACACAUUCAUUUCUUUGCCACUGGAAUGUCAUAUUCCAACAAUAUGUUACCUCUAUUAAAUGACUGCUUUUAGCUGGAAUUCAAGCAUGUUUUGUUUCACUCAUUAUUCCAACAUAUUGGAUGCAAUGACAGAACACUCGGUUCAAAUUACUAAAUAAUUCACACUUGGGACUUCUUGCAUGGGAAUUUAUUCAUGUUUAAAUAUGGACUAAUGAGAAUGGAGUUGUGGAAGAUAUUGUAGCUUUGCUGCUGCUUCAAAGGAUGGCCCUUCCUCUCUUAGCUUUAAUGGUGUUUGCCUCCAGAAGGCAAUCAAUUGGGGGCCAUAUGAGAAUUUAUGCCUAGUGGGGCCCUAAACUGUAAAAAUCCUAGUAAAUAACCCUAGACUGCCAAGUUGUUUAUUUCCUUGAGGAUGUGAGCUGUUAUCAUGAAUUAUAAUUUAUAACCCCUUUGUUGUGCUCAAUGACCAAAAAGGUGGGUAUCUAAAAUUCUUUUCUCUAUCCCCAUUAUUUUAUUCUUUACUAAAUAUUAAGUGACCCAAAUCUUUAUUUAAAUAAAAUACAUUUGUAAAAUAAAAUAAAAGUAAAAUCCAUAUAGAAUUACACUUAUUUUAUUUUAUUUUAGAAUAAGGUUUUUUAAACGUUAUUAAGCUUCAUCUAUUUGAUAUUGAUUAGAAUAAGAUGUUUCAAUCUUACUACACUCUUAUUAGAAUAUGAUUUUAUAAGCCUAUAAAUAGACAUAGUCUACUCCUCUUGUAAUCAUUCGAAUUUGGCAUAGUGAAUUAUCUUCUCCUUUUCUCGUGGUUUUUUUCUCGAAAGGGUUUCCACGUAAAACUUAUGUGUUCUUUAUUUUUCUCUCUUUUUCAUUGCGAUACAUUGUCAUUACCGACGUUCUAUUUUUAACAAAUUGGUAUCCGAGCUUCCGGGUUGUUCAUCUCAAUCACGGUAAUAGCGUCUUUGAAGAAUGAAAUUUGCUGUUGGAUCGCAACAACAGAUUUGCGUUGUGGCAGAUAAAGAUGCAGGCAGUUCUUGCAUAGAUGAACUCAGACGAAGCCCUGCUAGGGGUAGAUAAGAUGCCUUCAACAUUGACGGAGGAAGAGAAGAAGCGCAAGGAUCGAAAGGCGUUAACACAGUUACAUCUGCAUUUGUCUAACAAAAUUUUACAGGAUGUGAUAAAUGAGAAGACCGCCGCUGGAUUAUGGAAGAGGUUGGAACAAAUAUGUAUGUCGAAAACUCUAACUAGCAAGCUGCAUAUGAAGCAACGUCUUUAUGCUAAUCGUUUUGAGGAAGGCGUGCCUGUGCACAAACAAAGAAAUUCUCUCAAAGUUGGAGGCCAUGAAGGUUCAGUAUAAUAAGGAAGAUCUAGUGUUGGUUCUACUUUGUUCGUUGCCUCCAUCUUAUUCAACCUUUAGAGAUACGAUUUUAUAUAGUCGCGAGUCUCUCAGAAUUGAUGAGAUUUAUAAUUCUUUAACCUCGUAUGAUAAGAUGAAGUAUCUUGUGGUUAAAAUCGACUCUUAGGGAGAGAGUCUCAUUGUUCGUGGGAGACAAGAUCAGAAUGCUAAUUAUGAUCGUGGAAGGACACAGGAACGGUAAUGACCCAAACUUCACAAGCACCAAAAAAAUGAGUUAUAGGGCCUUCGUCUUAAUAAACUGAGUUCGUAAACAAUUAUUCGGAGUAAUCAUGAGUCUAGUUGAGUAUUUAAUUAGGCUCAAAUUGGGUGAAUUUAGCUUAGUUAAUAGAUAUUAGGAAAAAGGACUGAAUUGAAUAAGGUGUGAAAGUCUAAUUAUAGAUUAAAAGAAGAUAAGGGGGACUAAAUAGGAAUUAAGCCUAUUUUGAUGAAUGAGACGACAAAGCAUAAAAAUACAAGUGUAUUAAUUCAAAUGAGUACAUUUGUAUUAUAUAUAUAAUUAGUAAAAAUAUAUUUUAUUAUUUAUUAUUAAUUAGUAAAAGAUUUUUAUAUGAUAAAUAAAUUGAAAUUAUGACAAGUGGAUGGUGAUGAUAAAAUACAAAUGUAAAAUAUAUAUGUGAACAUUUGUAAUAUUUAUAUUUGUUAUUAAAUAGAUAUUAUUAUUAUAAUAAUUAUUGUUAUUAUUUAAUUGAUAUUAUAUUAUUAGAUUAAUGAACAAAUUAAUAAAUUGACAAAUGUAUGGUGAUGGUAAAGUACAAGUGUAAUAAAUCAUAUACAUACAAUUGUUAAAUACAUAUUUAUUUACUUAAUAUUUAAGAAAUAAUAAUUAUUAAACUAAAGUAAAAUAAAAGCAUAAAAAGAAACAAAAAAGAAAUAGAAAGAAACAAAAUAGAAACGAAUAGGGAGAAAAAAGAAAGAAAAGAAAAAGGGAAAGAAAGAAAGGAGAAAUAGGGUUUUUUAAAGGUUGAGGUUUAAUUUGGUAAGUUAAUUUAGUCCAUUUUCUUGUAAUUUUGAUGUUUUUGGAGUCUUAGAGUUGAAUAUUAUUGAAUUUAAGUUGAAAAUUUGAAAAUUAGUAGAUUUUUUAGUUGGGUUUAUGUUGAAUAAAUGAUUGAAUUAGGGGUUUAUUUGAUGAAAUUAUUGAUUAGAAUUGAUUUAAGGAUUAAAUUGUAAACUAGGCUAUAAGUUUUGUGUUGUAGGGACUAAAUUGAAAGAAAUUCGAAAUUAUGAUAAAAAUUUGAUAGUUAAAUUUAAGUUUAUAUGGAAUUUGGAUAGGAAUAAAAUAUAAAUUGUAAUGGGAAAAUAGAUGAAUUUAGUUAGGACUAAAAUUGGAAUUUAAGUGAAAGUUAAAUAGAAAUUUAGUAUUUAAUGUAAAUUAGUAAUAUAUUAAUGAUUAUAAAUUAUUUUAAUUUCCGUAGCUAACAAAGAACCUGAGACAUCAACACCGAAAGGAAAGGAAAGGAAAGGAAAAAGUUAUCGAGGAGUAAUCGUGAAAUUCGGGUUUGUAUUACUAUAAUUCAAGUUAUUCAUUAUUAAAUAUUAAUAUUAAUUUAUUUAAUUUAUGGUAAGUAAAUAUUGAGGUAAGUAACUUUAUUGAAUUGAAAUUAGAAUUGAAUUGAAUAAGAAAUAUGUGUUAGUAUUGAAUUGAAUUUUGAUUAGUGAAUGAAAAAGUGAAUUUGACAUUGAAAGUAAAUUUUGAAAUGAAAGUGAACUUGAAUUGAGAAUUGGAAACCCUAUUAACUAGUCGGGCCGAGUCGGAUAUAAUUAACAUGCUAUAGGAUUGGAAGAGUUCAGGGAUACUUCGACCUCGAGUCGAUGAGACACUGGGUGUCACUAUUUUACAUGAUAUAUUUAUUUAGUAAAUUACUAAGUUGAUGUUUAAGAUAUGUUUAAGUGUAUUUGAAAAUGAAAUUGUAUGGAUUGUGAUAUUGGUUUUGAAUUGGUUGCGGUUUGAAAUUGCAUGGAAGGUUAAAUAUUUAUAAAGGGGUUAUAUUGAGUUUUUUUUUUAGAAAAAAAAAUGAAGUCAAUUAGUAAUAAAAAAUAUUUAUAUGAAAUUAUUAUAUUAUAAUAUGUUUGUUAUUUGUUUAAGAAUUAUUUGUAGAUUGUCUGAUAUGUCCGGUAAUGCCUCGUAACCCUAUUCUAGCGACGGUUUAGGGUUAGGGGGUGUUAUAAGAACAGAAUCCUCGCUGUAAAUCUAAAGGUAGAUCGAAGUCUUCAAACAAAAGUAAAACUUGUAACUUUUGCAAGAAGAAAGGACACAUUAAAUCUGAGUGCUAUAAGCUAUAGAAUAAGAUCAAAAGGGAGGCUGCGAAUGAAAAUGGAAAACAACCAGAAAAUUUCGAUAAAGCUGAUGUUGUAGAAGACUACAGCGAUGGUGAACUUCUAGUCGCUUUUGUCAACAAUUCUAAAGUGAGCGAAGAGUGAAUCAUUGAUUCGGGUUGCACCUUCCACAUGAGUCUCAAUCGGGAUUGGUUUACAACUUAUGAAACAGUGUCUAAAGGUGUUGUUUUGAUGGGAAAUAAUGCUUUAUGUAGAAUCGUAAGUGUUGGAACAAUUAAAGUUAAGAUGUUUGAUGGAGUUGUCAGAACACUCAGUGACGUACGAAAUGUUCCAGAAUUAAAGAGAAAUUUAAUUUUGUUGAGUACUCUUGAUUCAAAAUGGUACAAAUACACAGUUGAAAGUGGGGUUUUAAAUAUUUCCAAAUGUUCUCUCAUUGUGAUGAAAGGGUAGAGAAAGACUGUCAAGUUAUAUGUUUUGGAAGGUUCUAUUGUUACUGGUGAUGUAGCUUUCGCAUCCUCGUCCUUAUUAAAUGAUGAUGAUAUUACUAAAUUUUGGCAUAUGCGCCUAAGGCAUAUGAGUGAGAAUGGCAUGACAGAAUUGAGCAAAAGAGGACUUCUUGAUGGGUAAGGAAUUUGCAAACUGAAGUUCUGUGAGCACUGCGUUUUUUGGAAGCAAAAGAGAAUUCGAUUCACCAAAGGAAUCCAUAACACGAAGGGAACGUUGGAGUAUAUUCAUUAUUAUCUGUGAGGGCCAUCCAGAGUGCCUUCGAGAGGUGAAGCUAAUUAUAUGCUAACUUUUAUUGAUGAUUUUUCCAAAAAAAUUAGGCGUUCUUCUUGAAGCAGAAAAACGAUGUACUUUCCGCAUUUAAGUCUUGGAAAAUUAUGAUUGAAAAACAGAAGGGAAAACAAAUAAAAUACUUCUGUACUGACAAUGGCUUAGAGUUCUGUUCUGAAGAGUUUAAUAAAUUGUGCAAGUCAGAAGGGAUCGUGAGACACUUGAUAGUUUGUUAUACUCCAUAGCAAAACGGCAUUGUAGAACGAAUGAACAGAACGAUCAUGGAGAAGGUUCGAUGUAUGUUGUCAAAUGCCAACUUACCAAAGUCAUUUUAGGUCAAAACAACCUCUACUGCAUGUUUUUUGAUUAAUCAAUUUCCAUCCAUUGCCAUUGAGAAAAAGACUCCACAAGAGGUAUGGUUUGGUAAUUCUACUGACUAUUCUGAUUUAAAGAUCUUUAGGUGUCCUGCGUAUACUUAUGUUGAUAAUGGAAAAUUGGAACCGAGAUCCAUUAAAUGUGUUUUUCUUUGUUAUAAAGCUUGUGUAAAAGGGUAUAAGUUAUGGUGUCCUGAAAAUAGAAAAGUUGUGAUUAUUAGAGAUGUUUUUUAUGAAACUGCUAUGCUACCUAACUUAUCUCUUAAAAACUCUUCCAAUAAAGAAAAUCAAAAGCAGGUGGAGCAUCAGAUUAAUCCAAAAUCUACAAUAGAGUCGACUCCUCAAGCCAGUACAAAAAUUUAAAAUAGAGUUUAUUCUUCACCAUAAUACUCUAUCACCAAAAAUAGAACUAGAAGAGAAAUUAAACCUCCAAAGAAGUAUAUUGAGGUUGAUCUAGUUGCUUGUGCUUUAAAUGUGGCUGAAGAUAUAGAUGCAAACUAAGAGCCAUCUAAUUAUUCUGAUGCGGUUAGCUGUGAAGACUCAGAAAAAUGGAUGUUUGCUAUGCAAGAGGAAAUUGAAUCACUCUACAAAAACAAAACAUGAGAUCUUGUGAAACUUCCUAAAGGUAAAAAAUUUGUUCGUUGUAAAUGAGUGUUUAAAAAGAAAGAAGGGACUCUGGGAGUUGAAGAACCCAGAUAUAAAGCAAGGCUUAUUGCAAAGGGUUACAGUCAAAUUCCAGGAGUGGAUUUCACCAAUGUGUUCUCCUCAGUUGUGAAGCAUAGUUUGAUUCGAGCUUUGCUUGGAAUUGUGGUCAUACAUAAUUUGGAGCUUGAGUAGUUAGAUGUAAAAACUACAUUUUUGCAUGGAGAACUUGAGGAUGAUAUUUACAUGCAACAACUAGAGGGUUUUACAGUCUCAGAAAAAGAGGACUGUGUUUGCUUGCUAAAAAGUCUCUUUACGGUUUGAAAUAGUAACCAAGACAGUGGUACAAGAGGUUUGAAUCCUUUAUAACUUCUCAUGAUUUCAAAAGAAGUAGCUUUGACAGUUGUGUUUACUUUAAGAAAAACAGUAAUGGUUCUUUUGUGUAUCUACUCCUUUAUGUUGAUGAUAUGUUGAUAGCAGCGAAAGAUAAAGAAGAGAUAAGAAAGGUCAAAACCCAACUAAGUGAAGAAUUUGAGAUGAAAGAUUUGGGACCAGCAAAGAAGAUACUUGGUAUGGAGAUUCUCAGAGAUAGAAAAACAAGUAAAUUGUACCUAAGUCAGAAGGGGUACAUUGAGAAAGUUCUUUGCAGAUUCGAUAUGCAGAAUGCUAAGCCUGUUAAUACUCAUUUAGCAGCCCAUUUCAGACUUUCAUCGGCUUUGUCUCCAUAAUCAGAUAAUGAGAUUGAGUACAUGUCACAUGUUCCAUACUCUAGUGCAGUGGGAUCUCUCAUGUAUGCUAUGGUUUGUUCACGUCUAGAUUUAUCAUAUGCAGUCAGUGCAGUUAGCAGAUACAUGGCGAAUCCUGGUAAAAUACAUUGGAAAACAGUUCAGUGGAUUUUAAGAUACUUACGAGGUACUACUGAUGUUUGCUUACAGUUUGGAAGAACUAGAGAUGGAGUCAUUGGGUAUGUUGAUAUUGAUUUUGCUGAAGACCUUGAUAGAAGAAGAUUUCUCACAGAUUAUGUCUUUACAAUUGGAGGUUGUGCAAUCAGUUGGAAAGCUACUUUGCAAACUACAGUUGCUUUGUCUACCACUAAAGCUGAGUACAUGGCGAUUACUGAUGCUUGUAAAAAAGUCACUUGGUUGAAGGGACUCUUUAGUGAACUCAAUGAAGACCUUCAAAUCAGUACAGUAUUUUGUGACAGUCAGAGUGUCAUCUUCCUUACAAAAGAUCAAACGUUUCAUAAGAGAACAAAACACGUUGAUGUUCGGUAUCAUUUUGUUCGUGAUAUUAUUGCCCGUGGUGAUAUUGUUGUGAGCAAAAUUAGUACUCAUAAAAAUCUUAUAGAUAUGAUGACUAAGUCACUUCCUAUAACCAAGUUUGAGCAUUGCUUAGACUUGGUUGGUGUUCAUUGUUGAAGUUAAACCCUUAAGAAGGGGUUUUAUGGAAGAGGUGGAGAACUUGUUCGUUGAGAGUUCGCAAUGAAGAACUUGUUCAUUGAGAAUUCGUGUCAAGGUGGAGAUUGUUAGAAUUAAGUGACCCGAAUUCUUAUUUAAAUAAAAUGCAUUGGUAAAAUAAAAUAAAAUAAAAGUAAAAUCCAUAUAGAACUACACUUCUUUUAUUUUAUUUUAGAAUAAGGUUUUUUAAACAUUAUUAAGCUCCAUCUAUUUGAUAUUGAUUAGAAUAAGGUGUUUCAAUCUUACUACACUCCUAUUAGAAUAUGGUUUUACGAGCCUAUAAAUAGACAUAGUCUACUCCUCUUAUAAUCAUUCGAAUUUGACAUAGUGAAUUAUCUUCUCCUCUGCCCGUGAUUUUUUUCUCGAAAGAGUUUUCACGUAAAAUUUGUGUGUUAUUUAUUUUUCUCUCUCUUUUUCUUUGCGAUACAUUGUCAUUAUCGACGUUCUACUUUUUAACAUUAUCAAAUUAAACAACCAAAAGAUUUAGCGAAUCGCACUUGAAAAUUUUCAUCCUUUAUCCAUGAGCCAGUAAUGGUAAAAUUUUGAUAAUUUCAACUAAAAUUUCAUUCAGUUUUAAAAUAAAUUUUUAUAUAAUUUUUUAACCGUAUUGUGUACCAUAAUGUAAUACAUAUUUGGUUCACUUAACUCAUAAUACAAACUUCAAUUAAAAAAUAAAUAACAAUUUUAUCUAUUUUACAAAGUAAUAUAUAUUAUUACGAGAUUAUUUUUAUUUCUUCUUAUAAAAUCUAGAAAAAUCAAUCUAAAUCCAAAAUAUAAUCUAGAAAAAAAAAUUGAACCUAAAACACUAGAGUCUUCAAAGCUUUAAUUUUAUUUAUUUUUUAUAAAUAUAACUUUUUACAUAAUUAAGCUUGUUAUAAUAUGGUAUAUCCUAAAAUUCAUAAAGCUGAGCAUAAAAGAAAUAAUUAUAAAUGUAGAAUUCAAAUAAACAUUUAUUAAAUAUCAGUACCUUUUAAAAGUGAUUGUAUAAAUAAUCGAAAGAGAAUUAUUUCGAAGUACAAAACUCUUGUUUCGCAAAGAAAACAAAUUAAGUGUGGAUUUGGAUGGUGAUGCAGUGCGUUUAGCUUACUUUUUGUUUCACGCUAUAGUAUCCUAAUUGAUUUCGAACAAAAAAAAAUAUGGUAUUAGAAGUGAAGGAAGCAAGAAGUAUCCCUUCACACUGGGACCAUUAUGAGCUUUUUAUGCACUUCGGGGACGACCAAAUGAGCCAAAUUCUAGCCAAACAUUUAAAGUGAAUAACAGGAAAAACCAAAACAAAAGGGGACCAUUCUGAAAAUCAAUUGAAAGCCAAUUACUUCAAACACUAAUUUUGAAUUUCUAGCAUUCACUCAUUUCCUUGUUUUCAUCAACCCGUAAAAUGAAGCAGCAAGUAGUUUUUGUCUUAGGCCUGCAAACUCUGAAUUGGAUAAUACAAUAAUAAUAAUAAUAAAAUACACGUUUUAAAAUUAAAUAUUUGCACACACGAUCACAAUUUAUUUCCCUUCAUAACCCCAAUUUUUGCAUGGCCCUCUUAUAGCAUAUACAUAUAGCUACUAUGGUACAAAGGGAGGCAUAUACAUCAAAGUAUAUAUGACACAUGAAACAUAUUGGUAUAUCAAAUAUUCUGGACAGUUCAGUUGGAUAUGGAACAAUGGGAACUCUUGAUAGUACUUCAUAUACCUGCCAUGCAUUCCGGUGGGGUGACCGGGUACCGAGACUUGUCGGUGCAGUAAUCGUAGAUCAUGUGGUUCAUCCGAACCCACCUGUAUCUCCUAGCUUCCAUGGCAUUAAGAGCUUGAUAAGCAGUACCUUCCCACCAGUUCCUAGGGUUACUAGCACAAUUUGCUGGCCCUGGAACUGGACACCCUUCAAUGUCAAAAUCCUUGUAAUAAGCCAAAAAUGGUGCUUUGCUCCAAUCAAUUUUCUCAAGUCCUCCCCUUGUUGCCCAAUCAUCAGCUUCCCAUAGUGUUGAAUAUACCCCCAUAGGUUGAAAUUUUGGGUAUGGGAUGUUUUUUGCUUCAUUGUUCUUGUAUACUCUUAUU